GACGAACGCUGGCGGCGUGCUUAACACAUGCAAGUCGAACGGAAAGGCCCUUCGGGGUACUCGAGUGGCGAACGGGUGAGUAACACGUGGGUGAUCUGCCCUGCACUUUGGGAUAAGCCUGGGAGACUGGGUCUAAUACCGAAUAGGACCACGCGCUUCAUGGUGUGUGGUGGAAAGCUUUUGCGGUGUGGGAUGGGCCCGCGGCCUAUCAGCUUGUUGGUGGGGUAAUGGCCUACCAAGGCGACGACGGGUAGCCGGCCUGAGAGGGUGACCGGCCACACUGGGACUGAGAUACGGCCCAGACUCCUACGGGAGGCAGCAGUGGGGAAUAUUGCACAAUGGGCGCAAGCCUGAUGCAGCGACGCCGCGUGAGGGAUGACGGCCUUCGGGUUGUAAACCUCUUUCACCAGGGACGAAGCGUAAGUGACGGUACCUGGAGAAGAAGCACCGGCCAACUACGUG
This 462-nucleotide ribosomal RNA is filed under the name uncultured bacterium. RNAcentral describes it as "partial 16S ribosomal RNA". It matches the Rfam family "Bacterial small subunit ribosomal RNA", at positions 28 to 507 of the family's 1533-position model. The record is from RNAcentral.